UACGUAGGGUCCGAGCCUUGUCCGGAAUUACUGGGCGUAAAGAGCUCGUAGGUGGUUUGUCGCGUUGUUCGUGAAAACUCACAGCUCAACUGUGGGCGUGCGGGCGAUACGGGCAGACUAGAGUACUGCAGGGGAGACUGGAAUUCCUGGUGUAGCGGUGGAAUGCGCAGAUAUCAGGAGGAACACCGGUGGCGAAGGCGGGUCUCUGGGCAGUAACUGACGCUGAGGAGCGAAAGCGUGGGGAGCGAACAGG
RNAcentral lists this ribosomal RNA (253 nucleotides) under uncultured bacterium. Its description in RNAcentral is "partial 16S ribosomal RNA". It matches the Rfam family "Bacterial small subunit ribosomal RNA", at positions 524 to 776 of the family's 1533-position model. The record is from RNAcentral.